UCCAGACUCCUACGGGAGGCAGCAGUGAGGAAUAUUGGUCAAUGGGCUUACGCCUGAACCAGCCAAGUCGCGUGAGGGAAGACUGCCCUAUGGGUUGUAAACCUCUUUUGUCAGGGAGCAAUUGGGUCCACGCGUGGGCUUAGCGAGAGUACCUGAGGAAAAAGCAUCGGCUAACUCCGUGCCAGCAGCCGCGGUAAUACGGAGGAUGCGAGCGUUAUCCGGAUUUAUUGGGUUUAAAGGGUGCGUAGGCGGAAUAUCAAGUCAGCGGUAAAAAUUCGGGGCUCAACCCCGUCGUGCCGUUGAAACUGGCGGGCUGGAGUUGGAGAGAAGUACGCGGAAUGCGCGGUGUAGCGGUGAAAUGCUUAGAUAUCGCGCGGAACCCCGAUUGCGAAGGCAGCGUACCGGCUCCACACUGACGCUGAGGCACGAAAGCGUGGGUAUCGAACAGGAUUAGAUACCCUCGUA
Molecule: ribosomal RNA, 465 nt
Filed under: uncultured bacterium
Lineage: Bacteria
Description: bacterial SSU rRNA
Rfam family: Bacterial small subunit ribosomal RNA
Source: RNAcentral